RNAcentral lists this ribosomal RNA (438 nucleotides) under Staphylococcus sp. EB151. RNAcentral describes it as "bacterial SSU rRNA". It matches the Rfam family "Bacterial small subunit ribosomal RNA", at positions 46 to 475 of the family's 1533-position model. The record is from RNAcentral. Lineage: Bacteria; Bacillati; Bacillota; Bacilli; Caryophanales; Staphylococcaceae.
GCUAUCAUGCAGUCGAGCGAACAGACGAGGAGCUUGCUCCUCUGACGUUAGCGGCGGACGGGUGAGUAACACGUGGAUAACCUACCUAUAAGACUGGGAUAACUUCGGGAAACCGGAGCUAAUACCGGAUAACAUGUUGAACCGCAUGGUUCAACAGUGAAAGACGGUCUUGCUGUCACUUAUAGAUGGAUCCGCGCCGCAUUAGCUAGUUGGUAAGGUAACGGCUUACCAAGGCAACGAUGCGUAGCCGACCUGAGAGGGUGAUCGGCCACACUGGAACUGAGACACGGUCCAGACUCCUACGGGAGGCAGCAGUAGGGAAUCUUCCGCAAUGGGCGAAAGCCUGACGGAGCAACGCCGCGUGAGUGAAGAAGGUCUUCGGAUCGUAAAACUCUGUUAUUAGGGAACAAAUGUGUAAGUAACUAUGCACGUCUUGAC